UUCGGUGCCCAUGGCGCUGGGGAAACACCUGUUCUCAUUCCGAACACAGAAGUUAAGCCCAGUAGCGGCGAGCAUACUGCGAAAGCGGGAAAAUAGCACGGUGCCGAAU
RNAcentral lists this ribosomal RNA (109 nucleotides) under bacterium. RNAcentral also lists the same sequence under 1 other name. The record is from RNAcentral.